AACGAACGCUGGCGGCGCGUCUUAAACAUGCAAGUCGUACGAGAAUCCCGGUGCUUGCAUUGGGAGGAAAGUGGCGAACGGGUGAGUAACACGUGGAUAAUCUGCCUUCAGGAUUGGGACAACCACUGGAAACGGUGGCUAAUACCGAAUAAGAUGGUAGUUGCAUAUGCAGCAGUCAUUAAAGGUGGGGACCUUCGGGCCUACUACCUGAAGAUGAGUCCGCGUCCCAUUAGCUAGUUGGUGGGGUAAUGGCCUACCAAGGCAACGAUGGGUAGCCGGCCUGAGAGGGUGAACGGCCACAUUGGGACUGAGAUACGGCCCAGACUCCUACGGGAGGCAG
RNAcentral lists this ribosomal RNA (340 nucleotides) under uncultured Spirochaetota bacterium. RNAcentral's name for it is "bacterial SSU rRNA". It matches the Rfam family "Bacterial small subunit ribosomal RNA", at positions 29 to 351 of the family's 1533-position model. Lineage: Bacteria; Pseudomonadati; Spirochaetota. The record is from RNAcentral.